GAGAAAGUCAUAGUUGUUAUGAUGUUGGCUUGAAACCAAUUUUAGAGGGUUCGAAUCCUUCCUUUCUUA
This 69-nucleotide transfer RNA is filed under the name Myotis riparius (Riparian myotis). Its description in RNAcentral is "tRNA-Ser". It matches the Rfam family "tRNA". From Rfam's summary of the family: Transfer RNA (tRNA) molecules are approximately 80 nucleotides in length. Their secondary structure includes four short double-helical elements and three loops (D, anti-codon, and T loops). Lineage: Eukaryota; Metazoa; Chordata; Mammalia; Chiroptera; Vespertilionidae. The record is from RNAcentral.